RNAcentral lists this ribosomal RNA (431 nucleotides) under Salmonella enterica. RNAcentral describes it as "bacterial SSU rRNA". It matches the Rfam family "Bacterial small subunit ribosomal RNA", at positions 1091 to 1522 of the family's 1533-position model. The record is from RNAcentral. Lineage: Bacteria; Pseudomonadati; Pseudomonadota; Gammaproteobacteria; Enterobacterales; Enterobacteriaceae. RNAcentral also lists the same sequence under 4 other names.
AACGAGCGCAACCCUUAUCCUUUGUUGCCAGCGAUUAGGUCGGGAACUCAAAGGAGACUGCCAGUGAUAAACUGGAGGAAGGUGGGGAUGACGUCAAGUCAUCAUGGCCCUUACGACCAGGGCUACACACGUGCUACAAUGGCGCAUACAAAGAGAAGCGACCUCGCGAGAGCAAGCGGACCUCAUAAAGUGCGUCGUAGUCCGGAUUGGAGUCUGCAACUCGACUCCAUGAAGUCGGAAUCGCUAGUAAUCGUGGAUCAGAAUGCCACGGUGAAUACGUUCCCGGGCCUUGUACACACCGCCCGUCACACCAUGGGAGUGGGUUGCAAAAGAAGUAGGUAGCUUAACCUUCGGGAGGGCGCUUACCACUUUGUGAUUCAUGACUGGGGUGAAGUCGUAACAAGGUAACCGUAGGGGAACCUGCGGUUGGA